RNAcentral lists this non-coding RNA (146 nucleotides) under Sphingobacterium sp. PM2-P1-29. RNAcentral describes it as "TPP". It matches the Rfam family "TPP riboswitch aptamer (THI element)". From Rfam's summary of the family: Vitamin B(1) in its active form thiamin pyrophosphate (TPP) is an essential coenzyme that is synthesised by coupling of pyrimidine and thiazole moieties in bacteria. The previously detected thiamin-regulatory element, thi box was extended, resulting in a new, highly conserved RNA secondary structure, the THI element, which is widely distributed in eubacteria and also occurs in some archaea. The record is from RNAcentral. Lineage: Bacteria; Pseudomonadati; Bacteroidota; Sphingobacteriia; Sphingobacteriales; Sphingobacteriaceae.
ACCAUACUUAUGGGGUGCUUGCAGUAAAUGUACUGGUACAGGCUGAGAUUAUACCCAAAUAACAAGAAUUGCUCAAUGCCCUGAGCAAUUCUUGUUAUAUACCUGAUCCAGAUAAUGCUGGCGUAGGGAUAUUUAAUUUCAAAAAU